RNAcentral lists this ribosomal RNA (429 nucleotides) under Actinomycetes bacterium. RNAcentral describes it as "Actinobacteria bacterium partial 16S ribosomal RNA". It matches the Rfam family "Bacterial small subunit ribosomal RNA", at positions 355 to 776 of the family's 1533-position model. The record is from RNAcentral. Lineage: Bacteria; Bacillati; Actinomycetota; Actinomycetes.
UAGGGAAUCUUCCGCAAUGGGCGAAAGCGUGACGGAGCAACGCCGCGUGAGUGAUGAAGGUCUUCGGAUCGUAAAACUCUGUUAUUAGGGAAGAACAAAUGUGUAAGUAACUAUGCACGUCUUGACGGUACCUAAUCAGAAAGCCACGGCUAACUACGUGCGAGCAGCCGCGGUAAUACGUAGGUGGCAAGCGUUAUCCGGAAUUAUUGGGCGUAAAGCGCGCGUAGGCGGUUUUUUAAGUCUGAUGUGAAAGCCCACGGCUCAACCGUGGAGGGUCAUUGGAAACUGGAAAACUUGAGUGCAGAAGAGGAAAGUGGAAUUCCAUGUGUAGCGGUGAAAUGCGCAGAGAUAUGGAGGAACACCAGUGGCGAAGGCGACUUUCUGGUCUGUAACUGACGCUGAUGUGCGAAAGCGUGGGGAUCAAACAGG